CAAUAGCGUAUAUUUAAGUUGCUGCAGUUAAAAAGCUCGUAGUUGGAUUUCGGGUGGGAAUGGCCGGUCCGCCGUUUCGGUGUGCACUUGCUACGCCCACCUUGCUGCCGGGGACGUGCUCUUGAGUUCACGCUCGGGACACGGAGUCGGCGAUGUUACUUUGAGUAAAUUAGAGUGUUCAAAGCAGGCCUACGCUCUGAAUACAUUAGCAUGGAAUAACACGAUAGGACUCUGGCCUAUCUUGUUGGUCUGUAGGACCGGAGUAAUGAUUAAGAGGGACAGUCGGGGGCAUUCGUAUUUCAUUGUCAGAGGUGAAAUUCUUGGAUUUAUGAAAGACGAACUACUGCGAAAGCAUUUGCCAAGGAUGUUUUCAUUAA
Molecule: ribosomal RNA, 377 nt
Filed under: uncultured eukaryote
Lineage: Eukaryota
Description: partial 18S ribosomal RNA
Rfam family: Eukaryotic small subunit ribosomal RNA
Source: RNAcentral